CCUCGCUAAAAGGAACCUAAUGGAUCGUACACCGUGUAAGGUAGAGAUUGAAGAAACAACAGAGAUGAAUAAGGAUAAUUAAAUGGUUUAAUUAUUUAUGGCUAAGAUUAAUUAAUCAAACGAAUAAGUUCAUUUUAGCUUUUGAUUAAUUAUUAGACCUCAAGGCCCAUCGGGCUUAAAACCAUCAAGCCCAUUAACUUAAGUUGUAUGACAACUUAAUGAGUAAAGACUCAAAAGUGCCCAAACAACAUAAAGCCUUUAGAAGGCUGGUCAUAUUAUGAAUGAAAGGGUUUUGGUUCUUUUUGUCACUUAAGUGAAGUGACUAUAUAAAGGACUUUAUAGCCAAAAUUCAUUAGGGUCCUCUCUUGAGGAAAUUGGAGAGAACAAAAGCUCUCCUUUUCUUUCUAGGAGGUUGGCCCCCUUGGAGGGGAUUUACUAGUAUCAAUCCUCCACCAAGCUCACUCAUCUCUUCUUCAAGUCCUUCCUUGGUGUGGAAACUUAGAGGUUCCCUUUCUUGGAGAAUCCAUUCAUCCAUCUUCCUCCAAGAAAUCCAUGGAGCUAAGAAAGGAAUGAAGGCCCUCUCUCUUGGGUAAUUAGCCUUUGCUUAUGCAAAGAGGAAUCAACAAAGGUAUAAUAUUUCUUAACUCACUUUGUUCUUGAGUUGAGUCUUGGAUCACCAUAAUUAUUAGGCCUUGAAUUUCAUGGGUAAAGUUUUGUUUUUGAGUGCAUACAAGCAUGAUUCCACCUUUUAAUUGUUAAUUGCAUGCAUAGAUGUUGCUCAAAUGAACUAGUUUUCACAAAUAUUUCCUUCAUUGAGGUGAUUUUGGUGUUAGACUUGCUUUGGUUCUAAAUGUUGGAAAUGUGCCCUAAAACCAAUCAUAUGAUGAUACUUUACGGACAUUUCACAUGUUAAACUAAUCUAGUUUAACUAUAAAGGGCAAAGAUUAUUGUUUGAGCCGUCUCAUAUAAAUGUUAUAUGCUUAAACGAUAAAGUCCAAGGAAUAUGUGAUUGGGAGAAUACGAUCUAAAGAAGUUAGAUUCAUGAGACCAUUCUUUCGUAGACACAUCCUAAAUGUUCCUGAUCAUAGGAUUGCCAAUUGGGCAUUGACAGUCCGUUAAGAUCAGUACGUACUGUGUCUUCUCUCAAGGAGAGUGACUAGUCUCGAGUCAUUGGUGUGUGUGACAUCAAGUCAAGUACGUAGGUGCUCAAUAGAGAAUGAGUUCACUGAACACGAUCAACGAAGAGUUCUCAUAUUCAUGUCACAUGAGAACUCAUGGUUGGGAUAAUGCAAAGUAGUCCUUUGACCUGAGGCAUCACAGUUGUCUUGUGGUUAAGUCCUUGAUCUUUGAUUAUGUCAAAGUCACCCCAUCGGGGAGUCCACGGCAUCAUUGGGGUUAAGCCACUUAGUCAUGGAGACAAGUGAAUGCGCAACAAGGGAUCUCUAACCUUCAAACCGUUUGAGGGAGAAUACUCUAUGAUAUGAUUUAGAACCUCUGGCCAGAGUAUGAAUGAGAUUUAGGAAAGCGUUCCAAAUCACAUUCAAGGUAAUUAUAUAAGCACACGAAUCACAUUGGAUAGUAGACAUGAAUAAAUAAACUAUCAAACCAAACAAUGUGGUCAAGAGUAUUGUAUUAGAGAAAGACCGUAUUGCAUUUGUAAUCCUAAACUGAAUAGGUUCUCCACCUCUUCUGAUUAGCUUGGGUAACCAUGAUAUGCUGCUAGGUGUCACUCAUGGUUUGUGGAAGCCCUAAACGUGUGUAAUCACUAAAGGGAGAAUUGAAAGUAAGUUUCAAUUCACAAUCGAUGUAAAAUGGUUUUAAUCGCCCACUGCCUCGCUAAAAUGAACCUAAUGGAUCGUACACCGUGUAAGGUGGAGAUUGAAGAAACAAUGGAGAUGAGUAAGAAUAAUUAAAUGGUUUAAUUAUUUAUGGCAAGGAUUAAUUAAUAUGUUAAUUAAUCAAACGAAUAAGUUCGUUAAAGACCUCGGGAUAGUUUUGGGCCUCAAGGCCCAAUGGGAUUCGAACGUCAAGUCCAUUGACUUAAGUUGUAUGACAACUUAAUUCACAAAGGCCCAAAAGCCCAAACAAAACCCCAUGGCCGGCCAUUUAGAGGAAGGGUAGUGAACUUGCUUUAAUUACAAGUUUGCCACUCAAAUGAAUAAAGGUAUAAAUAUGACUUUAUAGCCAAAAUUCAUUAGGGUUUGUUUUGGAGAAAAUUGGAGAGAACAUGUCUCUCCAUUUCUCUCUAAAGAGGCCGGCCCCUUGGAGGGUGUAUCUAGCCAUACUACUACUCCAAGGUCACUCAUUUUCUUCUCCAAUCUCUCCUUGGUGUGGAGACUUAGAGGUUCUCAAUUUUGGGAACUUAGAGAAACCUUUUCAUCCAUCCAAAUCCAUAGAUUUUAGAUGCAAGGAAUGAAGGCCCUCUCUUUGGGUGAUUAGCCUUUGCUUAUGCAAAGAGGAAUCUACAAAGGUACAAUUUCAACUCACUUUGUUUUGAGUUGAGUUUUGGUUCACCAAUCUACUAGGCUUUGAAUUUCUUGGUUAAGGUUUUGUUUUUAAGUGCAUGCAAGCAUGAUUCCGCCUUUAAUUGUUAAUUGCAUGCUUAUAGAUGUUGCUUAAAUGAACAUGUUUUCACAAAAUAAUCCUUUACUAAAUCUGUAAUCUAAACCAAGUGUCAUUUCUCUUAUUCCUUUUGUGUCUCCCCAAAAGAAAAUAUCAAAAAAGGGGGAGUAUAGGAACAUCAAAAACAACAAAGGAGGGUUUACUUCAAGAAAUAUUAUCAUUGAUCAAGAGAAAAUCUCUUCAAAAGUAUCCUUUCAUGCAAUGUCAUGGGGUGUUUCAAUGUCUUAAAUUCCCUUUGUUGGGUCAUACAUCAAUCUUUUCAUAGUUUAGAAUGGUGGUUCAUAAAUUUUACACCUUCUCUCACAUGACAUUGGCAUCUCUCAAUUGAUGUCUCACUCAAAGUCUCACAAUAUGUGCUCCCUUCAUUCAAGGCUUUUGCCUUAUUUUACACGCCAUGUCCUUUGUUUAUAUUACGUAGGAAGUGUUGCCUCUUAAGGUCAAUGAAUUUUUAAAAGCUUGGUUAAAAUUGGCAUGACCUUUCUUGGUUAAGUGCUUGGAUCUAUGAUUUUAAGAUGGCUAUCACAAAUCCUUUCUCCCAUGCUUUGACACAUCAUUGCAGGAUUAUAAGCUUGUGUUAAUCUCAUUAUUAAUGUUUGUGUAUGCCCUUGAAGAUUUGUCCAUUGAGAACUGCAUUGCAUGUCUACUUUUCGUGUUCUUCAAAUUGCAUAUCUCUUGGAAGCAUAGAUAUUCAAACUACAUUUUAGUCCAUUAUCUUCUGGUUGUUAUGUUGUUGGUUAUCUAUUAGUGCAAAUCUCUAAUUAUAUGUGGUCAUCUUGUUCAAGAGUUUGUUCAUAUUGCAAGCAUCAUUUAUGGGGGAGUUUUCAUUAUGGGAGAGUUAAAUCUCAACCCAUGCAUCUUUUUGUGCUUCUUAUUUCUAGUCUAAUUGUUUCAACACUUUGCUUGGGCUUAUCCAUAUGAUCUUAUUGCAAUUUCUUUAUCCGUUGUGCUCUUGUUGUUUGUGUCUUGUGUAUUUGCAGCAAAUUUGACUACUUUGUGCAUUUUUUUCCAACAUGUCUUUGUCUUAACAUGACAAAAUGGGGGAGACAAAUAAAAAUUUCAUUGUGUUUCAUACCUUGCAAGCCUUUUCUAACCCAUGAUAAUUUUCACUUGUUCUUGGCAAGAGUAGUUCAUGUGCAUGAUUCAUUCCUUGGCUCUUCUCUUGAGCGUGGGUGAGUGAAAUUAGUUCUAGGUUUGGAGUAUUUUGUCAAGGAAAAUCAAAGGGGGAGAUUGUAAAGUCUAGUCUUAAGUGUUUGGUUUCCCUUGUCAAAUAUUGUAUUUGUGUACCAGAUGCUCAAUUUAGUUUUAGACUACAUUAUCUAAUUAUGGGAUGCUGCUACUGGGAUUAAACGUUCAAGGAUGUGGCUCACCUCACUUCAAAAGGUUUGUUCAUGCAUGUGCAUUUCAUAUCUAUAUUUGUGUUACAUCCUGUCUAGUUUGAUUGUCUAAUCAGUUUUACGCACUAACUUCGAGCUGUUUAGGCACAUAAAUUAAGACAACCUACAUAGGGUGAUUGACACCUUUCUGCUGGUUGUCAAUUUAUAGCCAUUGAUCUGCCUAGAUCUCUUUUGCAACUCACAAGUGUCCUUGGGACAAGUUGGCUAAUAGAAAAUCUUAUUUCCUUGGGUAUAUUUGUUCUCUAGAGUUUCAGUUUGAACUUGGGGGUUUAAAAUUUAUUUUUAGAAAGAUAGAGUUGCCUUAAAGGCCUUGGGUUUGCAUCUUCUCCAUUUAUGAACCCUUGCCAAAUCUUUUUCAUGCAUUAAACACCUAAUCAUUGUGCAUUAGGGUUGCAUUGUUUUAAGGUUUUGCAUUAAAGUCUUGGUCUGGCUUUAAGCUUUAAAUCCGAUUUUUAGACCAAGUUUUAGGUUUCAAGUUAGAUUCUUCCUUCAACUGUUUGACUGGAGAAUCUGACUGAUCAUUUGAAUCCAAAUUUUAUAUGCAUAUCAUAAAAUCAUAUCAUAUCAUUGAUCGUGUUGAUCUCGGUGCCAAAAGGUGAUGACCUCAAGAGGAGUUGCCACUUCGUGAAGACCGAAGAAAUCCAUCUCAUGUAAGCAAGGUUGCACAAAGGUAAAGCUGCUUCCUAGAUAGAGAGCUAGGAAAUGAGCUUAUGUGAUCUUUGUAUGAACCUUUGUUUACACUAGUGGAUUGGACUCAAUGGAGAGUCCCCGUCUUUUUAACCGAGAGGUAGGUUUUUCCGGCCAAAUAUAUCUUGUGUUCAAGUUAUUUUUAUUGUGUCACAUAUCUCACAUACACAUACAUGAUACAUGUAUUUUGUUGAACAUUUAAAUGGUAUGUGCUCACAGUCAUGCUCACUUAACACAUUAAUAACUUGCAACAAAUAAUAGCCUUGCUGACUAGGAUAGUUUUUGGGAAUUGAAAUUAGUAUUUGAAUGUUCGAUUUAUUGACUAACAAAUCUUAGUUGACUAGCAGGCUUGACUAGUCAGUCUAGCGGAUUAUAAAUUCUAUAUACAUGAUAUUCCACCUGGUACCAAUUGUGACAUCCCACAUCGUCCAUGGGAGUGAUCCUUAAAUGUAUAUUCCCAUCCCUACCUAGCGACGAGGCCUUUUGGGAGCUCACUGGCUUCAGGUUCCGUCGGAACUCUGAAGUUAAGCGAGAAGGAGGCCAGAGCAUUCCCAGGAUGGGUGACCCACUGGGAAGUUGCUCGUGAGUUCCCAAAAACAAAACUGUGAAGGAAUAGUAAGCCCAAAGAGGACAAUAUCGUGCUACGGUAGUGGAACGGGCCCGGGAUGUGGUGAACCCGGGCUGGGAUGUGACAAUUUGGUAUCAGAGCCAAUCCUUGGCCGGAAGUGUGUCGACGAGAACGUUGGGCCCCUAAGGGGGGUGGAUUGUGACAUCCCACAUCCCCUAGGGGAGUGAUCCUUAAAUGUAUAUUCCCACUACAUAGCGACGAGGCCUUUUGGGAGCUCACUGGCUUCGGAUUCCGUCGGAACUCUGAAGUUAAGCGAGAAGGAGGCCAGAGCACUCCCACGAUGGGUGACCCACUAGGAAGUUGCUCGUGAGCUCCCAAAAACAAAACCGUGAGGGAAUGGUAAGCCCAAAACGGACAAUAUCGUGCUACGGUAGUGGAACAGGCUCAGGAUGUGGUGAACACGGGCUGGGAUGUGAUCGCCCAGGGGAGCGAUCCUUAAAUGUAUAUUCUCAUCCCUACCUAGCGACGAGGCAUUUUGGGAGCUCACUGGCUUCGAGUUCCGUCGGAACUCUGAAGUUAAGCGAGAAGGAGGCCAGAGCACUCCCAGGAUGGGUGACCCACUGGGAAGUUGCUCGUGAGUUCCCAAAAACAAAACCGUGAGGGAAUGGUAAGCCCAAAGCUGACAAUAUCGUGCUACGGUGGUGGAACGGGCCCGGGAUGUGGUGAACACGGGCUGGGAUGUGACACCAAUUUCAUAAAAGAACAAGGUAAUUGUAGUAUAGUCAGCUCUAAUAAGGUCAUUCUCCAUAGGAAUUAUUUAAAAAAAAUUAUUGUUAAAACCAAUUCUUUAUUAAUUAUUUAAAACAAAGUUUAGAAAGGUUGAUUUUGGAAUUCAAAAUAAUAAACACGAAUUUUAAUUAAAACAAUUUAAAAGAUUCAGCAAAAGGAAAAUAACUAAAAGGAAACGGUUUUGAAAAUCAUUAUAAAAGCACUAGAGUUCUGCCAUCACCUUAACAAUUUCAUGCAAUUUAACCAAUUACUUAUGAAUCACACAUGCGUCUUUGAAGGUUAGAUUUUCCUUAUGCAUAUUCUCGUCGUGAUAAUCAAGCAAGAACGUAUAUAUAACAUGCAUUCCGUCAAGACUCAUUAAACUUUGUGAAAAUCUUUUGAAAAACCAUGCAAUCCCUAAGAGUGUGAUAUACGCCUUAAGUGAAUUACAAUUAUCAAUCACAACAAACCCUACUCAAUCCUCCGGUGAUAUUCUGACUGAAUUGCAUUUGAUUACUUAUCUAUCAUCCUAUAUAGAGACAAUUUAAACACAAUGAUUAAUAAUUCAAAGUAUGCAUGCAUAAUAUCAUAAGCAAUUAAAUACUGACUACAUAUUCAUGCUAAGACUCUUGGCCUCGCCUUAGACAAAGAAAGUUACUUACGUGUAUUCAUAAUUAAGAUCAAAGGAAAUUUUAUUGAAUAGAAAAAGAGUGAAAACACCUUAUAGAAUAAAGUCUUCAAUUUGCCAGAGCCUUCGACAAUCUUCUCAAAGUUGUGUAGAGAAUUCUAUAAGCCAGUACCUUUAUUAUAUACUACUACAAGACAAAAUCCAUCCUAGAAAUGGUCUUCUAAAAACUAAGAAACAAAAUAAGCUAAGAGAAACUAGAAAACAAUUCCUAGUCAAACAUGGAUAAACUGCAAGUAAACUCAUCUGCCACGUUUUAGACCGUAGAAACCUCCAAAAACAGGCUCAAAAUGACUCUUUUUAAACUUUGAGAUGUCCUGUACAUAUUUUUAGAAGAACCCAUUGCCAAAAGACACCAUCUUGGAAGCCAAAAAGCCUAAGUAAGCCAAAAACGUUACUUUGACAACUUCGCUUGCUAGUCUUUUAUUUCAUCCACCGUAAAAUAACCACUUAGCUUCGCAUCCUGGGCUCGACUCCGUCAUAGCACGAUAUUGUCUGCUUCGCAUCCUGGGCUCGACUCCGUCAUAGCACGAUAUUGUCUGCUUUAGGAACUCACACGAGAACUUCCCAGUGGGUCACACAUCCUAGGAUCGCUCUCACACGAACUCGCUUAACUUUAGAGUUUCGAUGGAACCCGAAGCCAGUGAACUCCCAAAAAGCCUCACGCUAGGUAGAGAUGGGAAUAUACAUAUAAGGCUUAUAGGAUCCACUCCCCAGAGCAAUGUGGGAUGUAACAAUCCACCCCCUUUAGGGGCCCGACGUCCUCAUUGGCACACUUCCGGCCAGUGAUUAGCUCUGAUACCAAAUUGUCACAUCCCGGCCCGGGCCCCCACCACAUCCUGGGCUCGACUCCGCCGUAGCACGAUAUUGUCUGCUUUAAGCCCAGACCACGCCCUCAUGGUUUUGUUUCUAGGAACUCACACGAGAACUUCCUAGUGGGUCACCCAUCAUAGGAUUGCUCUCGCGCAAACUCGCUUAACUUCGGAGUUUUGAUGGAACUUGAAGCCAAUGAGAAAAAUAAGGGAGUCAGGGAGUAGAAGAAUCAGGGAGGAAAGGGAAGGCUACUGCCCAACCGGAGGAGAGGAAACGAGAUGUGGUUUGCCCAAUCAGGAGAAAAAGAAGAAGGAACUGUCCAAUUAGGAGAGGAGAAAGGAAAUCCACCGCAUGCAUACAGCUCGAUGACCUUCCAGCUUGUAUCUCCACCCAAAUUUGAUAGGUUUUUGUUCUCGUAUCACCAAGAUCGAGCUCGUUGAGUUUCUGGUGUACACGGCAGCAAUUCGCCAUUUUUGAAGCCAUCAUUGUCGAUUACCACUACCAUUAGUCUUCCCUUGGACCCAGGAUCAAGACCCAACUAGUGGUUGGGGCGGCGGAGCUUCGGAAUCAACGAAUCGAAGCACACCCUUUAUAGGGUUUCCGACGGGUUUGAGACGAAUUGGAUCACUUCCUGGCUGAAUUGGACCUCGGCCCAGGUAUAAAAAUUGUUCCUCACGUGGGCUGAGGCCCCACCUACCAUUCCUAGACUGAUUUGUUUACACUAAUUUCAUAUGUGAGGUUUGAUUGACAAAAUCUCGUUGUAAGACUGUAGUUUUGAUAGAGACCGCCACUUGGAUAUUAAAUGAAUCGACGAUUCAACUGUUGGAUCGUGACCAAAAUUUAAUGCUUUGUAACGUAAUAUUUGAAGACCAAGGAAACUUACGGAUGGGGAAUCCGACAUGGGGAUUUUCUCGAAUUGGGUUUGUAAGCUAGUAAAAUAAAACGUCGGCCGCCACUUAAUUCUAGCAAUUGGUAGAGAUCCGACCGUUGGAUCGUAAUGAAAUUUUAGUAUGAUGUUCUAGAAGCAUAAUGUGGAUCUUUGGAAGCUAUGGAUCAGAAAUCCGAGGUACGGAUCUUCUAGAUUGAGUUACGUAGCAUUGUGGAUCCUACCGUUGUGAUCUUUGACCGACGGUUGACUUUUGGUCAAUGGGUUUCAAAUCAUUCUAGAAUGUCCUUAGGGAUGUAUUUUGUAAGUUGCAUGUUCUAUUGAUAGGAAUUAUGAGACGUUAUUUGAUAAUUGGUCUAGACGACGAUGGUUCGUGACGCCUCGAUAUUCGAGCUAGAGAAUUGUAGCGCAGACUUCAGGUGAGUGGGUCUUUUCCUUUUUAUCGUAUAUAUAUAAUUGAUAGUUCCACAAACGUUUUAAAUUGAUUUAUGCAUUUUAUGCCAUGUCAUAUAUAUAUAUAUAUAUAUAUAUAUUCUAAAAUACUAUGAUAUGGUUGAGUUUUAGAUUGCAUCAUGGCAUAACCAUAUGCAUAUUACCUACAUUGUUGUUAAUGCCUUGAAGUGCUAAGGUGAACGCGGGACAUACAUGUAAGUACAGGUGAGUUUAUGGUGUUAUUUGAAAUGAUUGAGUUAUGGCAUGACUAUAUUAGUGUUUUAUGCAACUCCGACACUGUCGUACAGAUUGCAAUAUUAGGUAACUCCGACAUUGUCCUAUAGGUUGCAAUAGGCAACUCCGACACUGUCGUACAAUUUGCAUUAGGCAACUUCGACUCAUGUGUUAUCAUAGAUUGAUUUAUGAGUCAUACAGGUUGGAUUAGACAACUUCGACUCAUGUGCUAUCAUAGAUUGAUUUCUGAGUCGUACAAGUUGCGUUAGGCAACUCCGACUCGUGGGUUAUCAUAGAUUGAUGAGCACCUGAUUUUAUUAUGUUGUUGCCGAUAUGUACUGAUUUGGAAUAUUUCUGGAUUUACUGUUGAUUUACAUUUGAUUUCAUACUUAUACGUAGUAUGAUUUCCUGGAAACUAUACAGGUAUUACAGCGAAGGGUUAUAUCGUUUAGAAGGUCUUUAUUAAAGCUUUAUUUUCAGGCCUUCUCACUCUCGUUUUUUUUUUCCUCCAAGUUCUAGUAGCAUAGUUUUUGUAUCGACGAGGAUUCGUGGCAAGUCUUGGUAUUGGAGAUUACCUUCAAUGGUAUGAUUUUCAAUCCACUAUACUAUACUUUACUUAUGCUUUGACGUCACGUGUGAAAUGGGUUCAUUCCCUGUCACAACGCACUCUCGUAUUUAGGCACUUUUAGGUUUAAAUGUAUUCACAUAUUCCACAUCACUACACUUUAUGGCUUCGUCACCUUCCAGGUGUCGGCCAGCACAACCCGAUUCGGAGUCCUAGUGGACAAUUCGGGUCAGGAUGUGUCAAAGACUCACGAACAUCAUUCAAUAGUAAUCACUCCCAGAUUCAUUUGUUUGAUCACGUUUUGUCCAAGAAGAAGUCACAAGUUCUACAUUGGAAAUAUAAAUCAAAGUAUCAAAAUAUCACCAAAAUAAUUACCAAAAUAUACUGAGAAUAAGAUAAAGUAUAUAAUAUAAAAUAGACUCAUCAGGAGGCUGCCCUGUCUCAGGGCCAAUACAUAACACAAGCUUCUUUGAGGACUUACAACACGGCUCUUAGCUCUUUUUUUUAUUUUUUAUAUUUUAUAGAUCGCCCACCAAGAGGGAUUGCAUGCGCGAGACUCGAACUUACGCUGUGAUAUAGCAAAGAAAACGAUCAUUACCGACUCAACUAACCCACAUUGGCAGUUGCAUUAAAGGAGAAAACUUUUAAGUCAAAACUCAACUUUUUUUUUUUUGUCAAACGAUAGAUUUUGUUAGAUUGGUGUUACAUUAGCUAUUGAUGGGGUUUGAACCCAUACUGUCAUGCAAUGGCUCAACACAUUUCCACCACUUGCAAGUAAGUCAACUUUGAAUUUUAAUAAUUUGUGUAUGUGCAUUGAAGAUAAUUCGACUCGAAAUUACAAUGUUAUUUUCCUUGUUGGAAUGAUACCAUUGUAGGUCUCAAAAGUGGACUCUCCAUGGGCUCUCAGACACAUCAUGUUUUUGACAUAAUAUUUUAUAAUAUUAGUACAUUAUUGACGUUAGGCGACAAAAAGUUCAUAAAAAAUACUACUUUUGAGAAAAUUCCUUUAAAAACAUUUCUCGUAUAGCAUUAUCACAUGACGUGUGGGUAAUCAAUGCCUUAUAAAUAUGUUGGGUGCUUCCAAAACCCUCCAUAGUUAAACAAAGAGUCCAAGACGCAUAAAUCCUUGAAAGUAUGAUCUAGGAGUGGGUUUGAAAAACCGAAAAGGCCUAUUAACUAUACAACCCUACGACUUACUCUUUCUCCCUCCUACUACCAAUAGUCAAAUGACUCUCUCUCUCUCUCUCUCUCUCUCUCUCCCUCCCUCCCUCCCUCCCUCCCUAGAGCAAUGAGCACAGUGACUUUUUAUUUAGGCCUUGUAUAUGAGGUUGCUUUCAUGGGUCCGGCUUGAUGUGUGUGCCGUUACAUUUCUCCCCGCCAACGAAACGAAACAACACACCGAAAGCACAAAACAAAAAAGAAACAGUAGAAAGAAAGAAAAGAUUUUCCCAAAAUCCAAUAUAUUUAUACAAAAAAGAACAAGCGUGAAACCCACUCUGCUCUAUUUUCACUGUGUCUGCUGCUGCACCACUACACCACUACACCACAACCCAAAGCAAAAAAUACAGAGAUAGAGGGAGAGGGAGGGAGAGAGAGAGAGAGAGAGAGAGAGAGAGAGAGAGAUGGGUGUGAGAUUGAUGGGCUUUUCUUUUGUAUAAUGAGCAGAGGAGUAAAACCUCUUCUUCUCGGAAGAAGAUUGCAAUGAAUCACAACCAACACCGAAACCCACAAAGCCAUUCACUUUUGCUGGAUGCUUUGCUCUGUGAGGAGGACAAAUGGGAGGAGCACGACGACGACCAAGGAGAAGUAGUGGAACAAGAAGUGAGUAGUGGUGAGAACUACAACAACGGCGUCAGUGGGAAAAACCCAAACUGCCCUUCUCUGUUUCCCAUGCUCCUGUUGGAACAAGAUCUGUUCUGGGAAGAUGAGGAGCUUGUCUUUGUUUUUUCGAAAGAGGAGCUGCAACAGACGCAUUUCGCCAAACACUUGGAGAGCUUGGGGAAAGAGGAGUCGUUGAUCUCCAUGGCUCGCCGUGAAGCGGUGCUGUGGAUGCUCAAAGUGAAUUCCCAUUACGGGUUCACAGCCCUCACUGCAAUCCUAGCAGUUAACUACUUUGAUCGGUUCAUCUCAAGCCUCCAUUUCCAGGGAGACAAGCCGUGGAUGGUCAAGCUUGUGGCCGUCACUUGCCUCUCUCUGGCUGCCAAAGUGGAAGAAACCCAAGUUCCUCUGCUUUUAGACCUUCAAGUAAAUAAUCAUUUUUUUGUGCUGAAAGAAUCGAUUUUUCUUCUAAAUUUUCGAUUAAUCUCCAAUAUCUGAAACAUGGAUUUCGUUCUUUAUCAGGUGGAGGACACAAAGUACUUUUUCGAGGCGAAAACGAUUCAGAGAAUGGAGAUUCUGGUGCUCUCAACUCUCCAAUGGCGGAUGCAUCCAGUGACCCCACUUUCGUUUGUCGACCACAUCUUAAGGAGGCUCGGAUUGAAAACCCACCUCCAUUGGGUGUUCCUCAAGCGCUGCGAGCGUCUCCUUCUCUCUGUAGUCGCCGGUAAGCAGAAUCCGUAACGCUUUCAUUAACGCAGAAAGCUUUAAAUGUUUUUUCGAUAAGAACAAAGAGAAGAGCUAGAUUUAAUACAUUUUAAGUGUUUUGUCUCGUCAAUUUGUUUACUUUUUCGUAUUGGGUCUCUUUCAGAUUCGAGAUUCGUCGGUUAUUUGCCUUCUGUGUUGGCCACUGCAACAAUGAUGUGCGUUAUAGACCAGGUCGAGCCUUGGAAUGCCAUUGAAUACCAGAACCAGCUUCUUGGUGUUCUCAAAAUAAGCAAGGUUGGUGCUUUUUAUGUUUUUGUUUUUUCCGUUUAGCAAAAUGAUAUUCUAAACUAGUCUAAUCUACGAAAUAAGACAUUCGAACUUGGAUGAUGAGACAAUGCAAUGCCAACGUUAUGUUUUUGUUUCAUUUAAUUUGAUUACUUUGAUCGGUUUCAAUCUUCUUCAAACAGAAGAUCAAUAAAUGCACGUUGUUAAAUUUGUGUAAUCCUGUUUAAUUAUUGCUUAAUUAAGUGCUGCUGCAUUGUGAAACAGGAAAAAGUGAACGACUGUUACAGUCAGAUACUCGACUAUGAUUACGCUUGCAGCAACACCACAACCAUCGCCACCGCCGCCACCGCCGCCACCGACAAACGCAAGCACGAUCAAAUCCCGGGCAGCCCAAGUGGAGUGAUUGAUGCAUAUUUCAGCUACGAUGAAAUCUCAAACGACUCGUGGGCACUGGGAUCAUCGGUUUCUUCGUCCCCAGAAGUACAUUUCAAGAGGGCUAGAAAUGCUGAAGCAGAAGAGAAAGAGAUGAAAUUGGCUUCACUCAAUAGGCUCUUUGUGGGUAUUAUUAGUAGCCCACCUUAAUUAAUCUCAUUAAUUAAUUUGUCUUCCUUUUUAAAAACCCAACAAAAUAAAAAAUAAAAAAAAAAACAUGGUUAUCAUGGCAAUUUCAUUUUGGUGAAAAUCUGAAGUGCUGAGCUGCUGCCGCCGCCGCCUUAGAAAUGUAUUUCUCUGGUUUAAUCAUGGCGCUGUGGGGAUUAUUUACUAUUAUUUGAUGGCAAAUUACAGCAAAAAGGAGGGGCAAGAUUGGGAAUUUAAUUGAGAAUUACUCUUUACAUGAAGUCUGCUUCUUUGUAAAAUUUUAUGGAGCACUCAUAUAUGUUCUUCAUUGUAUCUCUCUUGGAACCAUUUGGACAUAUAAUAUUAAUAAAUAAAUUUAAACACCAAUUUUGUUCGCUUGUGUCAGAAUACUAUUUGUUCACUUCUCAUUAGCUCGAACGAAUGAUGCAGAAAAUUGGUGUCAGAUCUGUCAGGUAUCGAAAUCUCAAUUGAUUAUUUUUUUUUAUAAGCUCUAUUUAUUAUUUGGUCAUUGAAUAUGGGUUUUACUUGAUUGAUGAUAGAUUUCAACUUAUAUUUUAAGUGUAAUUUAAUACUAAGGUUUAGGUGGUAUUCAUCUUCACUUGUAAGUAAGAGGUUUUAGGUUGGAUUUGCGUCAAACACAAAUUUAUAUCAAAUUAUUGUUAGCGUAUUGAUGCUUAAACUACUUUCCCAUCGUUUUAGUGUAGAUAAUAUCGUUUGUUAAAAAAAAAAAAAAAAAAAAAAAAAAAAAAAACUUUUAUAUUAAGUACAUGACCAGAAUUUUCUAGUAUGUUUUGGGACUUUAGUUAUUAGAUUUUUGGUCAAAGUUUCGGUUGUAUUAGAGUAGGACGUGACCAAAACGAUUUUCUUUCAAAUAUCAAUCACUAAAAUGAUUAUUGUUUAAGAUGUUGAUGUUGCCGUCUUCAAUCUUUGAUCCUUAUAUUAUAGAUAUUUAUUCUAUAAGUUCAUAUUCAAUUUUGAUCAACUUAACAAUUGAAAUUUGACUUAUGAUUAAUUUUGUUAUUACUAGUUGGUCUAGUAGCAUUCAACCUUUACUUGGUUGAAAGAGAUUUCAAAAUUGACUCACAUAAAUGUGAUUAGGACAUAUAUUCGUAAUGAGUUUGAUGUUAAUUUGUUCAUAGAAUUUCUUUUUUACACUAAAAAGACCCUCAAACUAUCUAUAAUUGAGACGUUAAAUUUGAAGUAAAAUUGUCACAGCCCGUCCCGGAAAAUUAUUCUCAUGGAUGGGAAAUGUCGAGAAUACCCUUAAACGUUUCAUGAGAUUUAAUAUUAGGGUUUAUUUGGUUGCCCUAGCUUAAUUUUGGAUAAUUUGGGACUUGGACUUUCUGUUUGGUUGUAGAUGUGGGUUUAGGGAUGUGUUAGUGUGAGGACCACACACACACACACCCAAAACUUUUUCUCUCUCACCCUCCCGUACUCUCUCUCUUGGACGCACUCUCUCUCUCUUUUCUUCUCUCUUGUACUGACUACACCCAAAACCCAUCGAAAGUGUAAAGAUCGAGGGUGUGAAGCACACCAUUGUGUUCGUGAGAACCAUACGAGUUGAAUGGUACCAUUUUCAGGUAAGAACUCCUUUGAAAACUCGUGAAAUCUGAACCCCGAUUUGAGGUACUAUUCAUGCUCACGUAAAAUGUUGAUUUUUAGGGAAUUUUAAGGACAUAGGAAGCUUUAGGAGGUCCUAAGGAAGCUCGGAGUGGUUCGUUGGGUGAAAUUGGAUGUUGAGAUCAUGAUUUUCAAGUUUGGCCGGAUUUUGUGGAAUUUCUCCGGCGAGAUUCCGUGACUUUUGAAGCUUCAAAUUGGUGAGACUUAUCCCGAGGACGAGCGCGUUCAAGGGCGACUCGGGGGCUACGACCCUUCGACAUACAAAUGAGUGGGCUUUUGGUUUUCAAUAUAUAUUUAUAUACUUGAUAUUUUCCCAGAAAUAUGUGUUUAAAUGAAAGUAUGCCUUGAAUGCCAUGCAUAUGAAUUUAUAUGUCGUAUAUGAAUUGGUAUAUGAUGCAUAAUAUAUAAUUGUGGUGCUGCGGACGCUUAGGUAAGCUCAUGUAAGUUAUGUUUGAUUAUGUGAAUCAUCAAUGAUGUUAUAUGUGAUUGAAUAACGUUGAGCUCAUAAAAUUGCACCUAGGGUGAUUGUGAUUUAACCAGAAUUAUGGCACAUACCUGUUUAUUAUGUCACCUCCCACACCAUAUGCUCAUAUUGGAUCCAAUUUAGGUGCACAGUCCUGUCGUACAGACCAUCUUAGGUGGUUCCGACUCGUAGGUGACUAGUGAUUUUUCGCCCAGCUAUUGUGUGAGAGUAGUAUUGAGCAUGAUUAUAUUACACCCAUUAUUAUCGUACAGACCUUUUCAUUUGGUUCCGACUCUUGUGCAGUAUAGUGCCAUAUAGGUCAUUGUAGUGAGUCCGGCUAGAUUGACUUUUGAGCUAUGAAUUCAGCCGUACAGACUAUUGAUGCGAUGAAAGUUAAGCACUCAAAUUAAACCCUCUUAUUGUCAAAUUGUAGUAUAAAUGCAAGUAGGGAUCGUUCUAAACCGGGGAUUAGGAGGGCUUGCUAAACCUCUAAACUUACUCAAAAACAUAAAAACAAAGUUAAAAACGUUUGAAUAGACUCAAGGGACUCAAAACAGAUUCUAAAGACUCAAAACAACUUAAAAACACUCAAAACUGCCUAAAAACACAAACUGGGCAGAUUUGACUCUAACACAACUUUGGACGAAUUUAGUGUUUUGACUUAAAUCAAAACACUCUAAAACACAAACAAAACAGAUUUUAAACACUUUGGAACAAGAAAGUAAAAUGGGAGUUUUGAUUUGGAUGAAUUUGAAAUAAACAAGCAAGUUAUAAAACUAGGCAGAUUAUAAAAUGAAUUUGAGAAAUAAAAAGAUGGAGGGAUUAGUUAGAGGUCCGUUCUUCACACAUGACACACUUGUACAUGAAUCGAUUUCCAAUUGCUUUUCAAUAAACUAUGAUACUCAACACCCCAGAUUAAUCGUGAUGCACAAAUUAACCCUCAGAUUUUCCUUUACUCAUUGAAUUGGAUGAAUGCAUGCGACAACUCAAAUCAUUCUCUAAAAGUCCCCUAUAUGAAUGCAUAAUAGAGAUACAAUCAGAGAUCAUUACGUUCAAUGAAAAUCAUAAGUGUUGACGAGGCAAUUAUAACUAUGAAUGCAUGAUACAAUUGCCAAGAAUUCAAUUAACGCGAUUGUGAUAGACAACCUUCACUACUCAUGAAUAUAAACUUGUAACGAUUAAGUGAAACUCAUUUAUAUUCUAGCAUCUAAUUCAUGCAUGAAAAUUAAGUAUGCAUCCUUAAUAAACAUACAAGAAUCAGUUAUGAAUAAAAUAGAUAAUUGAAUUGCAAUCACAACUUAUCAAAUCAUAAUUGGAAGAAAUCAAUUCAAAUCUCAAGCAUGUUCAUGCUUCAAACUUCCCCCUAACUAAAUAGGGGUUUAGCCACUCAUAAUUGCAACAAAAUUAGAAAAUAAAAAGUAGACAUUGAAAGCAAGAACGGAGUAUACCUAAAACGCUCCAAAGUUCCAAGCUUGAAACAUCAAGGACCUUUGUUUUCACCACCUUGUUGUAGCACAAGUGUCUAGGAUGUGUAUGCAUAUAUGGAUGUAAUGGAUUUGCACGACUAAGAGAUGAAAGUGUAUGGAUUGGUGAGAUGUAGUAUGGCUAGAUGAAUGGAUUGUUGGAAAUGUGCCCUAAAACCAAUCAUAUGAUGAUACUUUACGGACAUUUCAAAUGUUAAACUAAUCUAGUUUAACAUAUAAAGGGCAAAGAUUAUUAUUUGAGCCGUCUCAUAUAAAUGUUAUAUGCUUAAACGAUAAAGUCCAAGGAAUAUGUGAUUGGGAGAAUGCAAUCUAAUGAAAUUAGAUUAAUGAGACCAUUCUUUCGUAGACACAUCCUAAAUGUUCCUGAUCAUAGGAUUACCAAUUGGGCAUU
This 16999-nucleotide long non-coding RNA is filed under the name Malus domestica (apple). The record is from RNAcentral. Lineage: Eukaryota; Viridiplantae; Streptophyta; Magnoliopsida; Rosales; Rosaceae.